GGAGGGAGCUUAUGAUGAUCAUGCCAGACGUGUGUUCCACCAUAACGCACACAUUGUGGUUAGAGAUAUGAUUUCUUAUGCCAGAAUUUAGGUUGUUGCCUCUUAUCUGGAACGGACUCAAGGGAUACGAUUUGAGAAGAAACGGGAUGCUGGAAAAUAUUACUUGACUGAGGAGCAAUACCGCGAGGUAAACUGUUGCAAGUUGCAAUUAGUAUGAUUCUGUUUGUUACCUUGAAACGAAAUAUUAUUGUGCAGGAAAUGAUUCCGUGGAUGGCCACAUGUGAGGAGGCUUAUCAUGCCUUAUGUCACUAUUGGACCACGUAUGAGUUCAAAAGCAUUUCCCAGAGAAAUAGAGGAAAUCGUGGAACUGAGUCCUAUCAUACCUACGGAGGUGAUGGGCACUUCCGAUUGGCCAAACGCAUUGAAGUUCGCACAGGUGUAGCGCCGAGUGAUAUUCAGGUCUACCUUGAAGGUCAUAGAGGACGUGAUCCUACAAAUCCAGAUCAGUUAUGCUCUCAGGCGGCUACAGAGCGUCUGGCGGCAUAUGGUGACCAAAUGAUUGCUCGCCAUGGAGAGGGUUAUGAUUGGAGAAACGCGCCUAUUGAUCCUGAGGCCGUUUACAGUAGUGGUGGUGGAAAACCUCAUGGCCGGUAUCCAUUAUUCGACAAAGUUAUUGACUCGAGUCAGGUGCCGUCGCGUCAAAGAGCGGGAUCGUCGCGGUCAGCAAGUCGCAGCACAAGUAGUGGCGACGACAGCGCGGAGGUUGUAAGGCUGCGUGAAAGAGUAAGACAAUAGGAGCUACAGCAGCAGUGGUUCCAAGCUCAACUUGCACAACAAAAUGCAAUACUGCAGCAAAUAGCGAGCCAACAGAAUAUACAAGUGCCACCACUGGUACAUCCACCUUUUGCACAGGCCGGUUGGCCAUCAGCUUCACCUCAGCCUUUUCACACCCCACCACCUAACCUUGCGGCACCGGGAGACUCACACGUUCAUCCAACAUCGAAUUGGGCGGAUCAAUUCAUUGGAAGUGGCGGAUCAGUUGAACCAGGUGAUGGAGGCGGC
Molecule: long non-coding RNA, 1062 nt
Organism: Panicum hallii
Lineage: Eukaryota; Viridiplantae; Streptophyta; Magnoliopsida; Poales; Poaceae
Exons: 6
Source: RefSeq, a predicted model, not a curated record